This 223-nucleotide unclassified non-coding RNA is filed under the name uncultured Actinomycetes bacterium. Its description in RNAcentral is "uncultured actinobacterium contains 16S-23S intergenic spacer region". Lineage: Bacteria; Bacillati; Actinomycetota; Actinomycetes. The record is from RNAcentral.
UCCGGUUUGGCACCGGCAGUCUCCCAUGAGUCCCCGGCAUGACCCGCUGGCAACAUGGGACAGGGGUUGCGCUCGUUGCGCCACUUAAGGCGACACCUCACGGCACGAGCUGACGACAGCCAUGCAGCACCUGUGCGGGCUCCCGUAGGAGGGCCGUGUUUCCACGGCUUCACCCCGCAUGUCAAGCCCUGGUAAGGUGGGGAUGACGUGUUCGGAUUCUAAG